CAGUCGCCGCGGUAAUACGAGGGAUCCUAGCGUUGUUCGGAAUCAUUGGGCGUAAAGAGUAUGUAGGCGGCUUUGUAAGUCAGUUGUGAAAGCCCCGGGCUUAACCCGGGAAGUGCAAUUGAUACUGCUAAGCUUGAAUUUGGAAGAGGGUAGUGGAAUUCCUGGUGUAGUGGUGAAAUACGUAGAUAUCAGGAGGAACACCGGAGGCGAAGGCGGCUACCUGGUCCUAAAUUGACGCUGAGAUACGAAAGCAUGGGGAUCAAACAGGAUUAGAUACCCGCGUAGUCCCUGUCUCUUAUAC
RNAcentral lists this ribosomal RNA (301 nucleotides) under uncultured bacterium. RNAcentral's name for it is "partial 16S ribosomal RNA". It matches the Rfam family "Bacterial small subunit ribosomal RNA", at positions 509 to 807 of the family's 1533-position model. The record is from RNAcentral.